Molecule: ribosomal RNA, 497 nt
Filed under: uncultured bacterium
Lineage: Bacteria
Description: partial 16S ribosomal RNA
Rfam family: Bacterial small subunit ribosomal RNA
Source: RNAcentral
GAUGAACGCUGGCGGCGUGCCUAAUACAUGCAAGUCGAGCGAACAGAUGAGGAGCUUGCUCCUCUGACGUUAGCGGCGGACGGGUGAGUAACACGUGGAUAACCUACCUAUAAGACUGGGAUAACUUCGGGAAACCGGAGCUAAUACCGGAUAAUAUAUUGAACCGCAUGGUUCAAUAGUGAAAGACGGUUUUGCUGUCACUUAUAGAUGGAUCCGCGCCGCAUUAGCUAGUUGGUAAGGUAACGGCUUACCAAGGCAACGAUGCGUAGGCGACCUGAGAGGGUGAUCGGCCACCCUGGAACUUAGCCACGGUCCAGACUCCUACGGGAGGCAGCAGUAGGGAAUCUUCCGCAAUGGGCGAAAGCCUGACGGAGCAACGCCGCGUGAGUGAUGAAGGUCUUCGGAUCGUAAAACUCUGUUACUAGGGAAGAACAAAUGUGUAAGUAACUAUGCACGUCUUGACGGUACCUAAUCAGAAAGCCACGGCUAACUACGUG